RNAcentral lists this ribosomal RNA (778 nucleotides) under uncultured Neocallimastigales. RNAcentral describes it as "partial large subunit ribosomal RNA". It matches the Rfam family "Eukaryotic large subunit ribosomal RNA", at positions 18 to 644 of the family's 3401-position model. Lineage: Eukaryota; Fungi; Neocallimastigomycota; Neocallimastigomycetes; Neocallimastigales. The record is from RNAcentral.
UCAGACGAUGCGUCAUGCAUAUCAAUAAGCGGAGGAAAAGAAACUAACAAGGAUUCCCCUAGUAACGGCGAGUGAAGCGGGAAAGAGCUCAAAUUUGAAAUCUUAAAGGGUUUCCCUUUACGAAUUGUAGUUUAAAGAAGUGAUUUUCUGUUGAGGUUUUGGUAAAAGUUCUUUGGAAUAGGACAUCAUAGAGGGUGAGAAUCCCGUAUUUGACCUUUACUUUCAACUUUGUGAUACACUUUCAAAGAGUCGGAUUGUUUGGGAAUGCAGUCCAAAAUGGGUGGUAAAUUUCAUCUAAAGCUAAAUAUUGGCGAGAGACCGAUAGCGAACAAGUACCGUGAGGGAAAGAUGAAAAGAACUUUGAAAAGAGAGUUAAACAGUACGUGAAAUUGUCAAAAGGGAAGCGUUUGACACCAGUGUUGUUUUUCUGAAAAUCAAUUAAAGAACUGUUUAUGCUAAGCUGUUUAGACUUUAUCAGCUAUCUGUUUAGUUUUGAGCUUUUCUUUAAUGCACUUUUCAGUUAACAAGUCAACAUCAAUUUCUUUUGCUGUAAAAAAGCUUGAGAGGAAGGUGGCUUGAGAUUCGUCUUAAGUGUUUAUAGCCUCUUGCCUAUGCAGUCGGAGAGAUUGAGGUCUGCAGCGUAGAUCCUUCGGGGCUAAAUGCAUUUGUGCUAAGUUAUAGCAUUUCAUAGACAACUUGUUGACUAUGAUUUGUCUUGUAGCUUACUCGCUUAUGUUAUUUUACCUACGCUUAGGAUGUUGAAUCUGUGCGAGACUAC